This 253-nucleotide ribosomal RNA is filed under the name uncultured bacterium. RNAcentral describes it as "partial 16S ribosomal RNA". It matches the Rfam family "Bacterial small subunit ribosomal RNA", at positions 524 to 776 of the family's 1533-position model. The record is from RNAcentral.
UACAGAGAGUGCAAACGUUGUUCGGAAUUACUGGGCUUGAAGCGCACGUAGGCGGCGUUGUAAGUGUCGGGUGAAAUCCCACGGCUCACCCGUGGAACUGCCCGGCAUACUGCGAUGCUAGAGUGUGGUAGGGGAGAGCGGAACUCCUGGUGGAGCGGUGAAAUGCGUAGAUAUCAGGAGGAACACCAGUGGCGAAGGCGGCAUCCUGGACCGAGAUUGACGCUGAGGCGCGAAAGCCAGGGGAGCAAACGGG